RNAcentral lists this ribosomal RNA (418 nucleotides) under uncultured bacterium. RNAcentral's name for it is "bacterial SSU rRNA". It matches the Rfam family "Bacterial small subunit ribosomal RNA", at positions 362 to 773 of the family's 1533-position model. The record is from RNAcentral.
UUUUCGGCAAUGGGGGGAACCCUGACCGAGCAACGCCGCGUGAAGUAAGAAGGAAUUCGGUCUGUAAACUUCUGUUCUAAAGCAAGAAAGCCGGAUGGAGGAAAUGACAUCCGAGUGACGGUACUUUAUGAGAAAGCCACGGCUAACUACGUGCCGGCAGCCGCGGCAAUACGUAGGUGGCAAGCGUUAUCCGGAAUUAUUGGGCGUAAAGAGGGAGCAGGCGGCAGCAAAGGUCUGUGGUGAAAGACUGAAGCUUAACUUCAGUAAGCCAUAGAAACCGGGCAGCUAGAGUGCAGGAGAGGAUCGUGGAAUUCCAUGUGUAGCGGUGAAAUGCGUAGAUAUAUGGAGGAACACCAGUGGCGAAGGCGACGAUCUGGCCUGCAACUGACGCUCAGUCCCGAAAGCGUGGGGAGCAAAU